Molecule: ribosomal RNA, 327 nt
Filed under: uncultured bacterium
Lineage: Bacteria
Description: bacterial SSU rRNA
Rfam family: Bacterial small subunit ribosomal RNA
Source: RNAcentral
GACGAACGCUGGCGGCGUGCCUAAUACAUGCAAGUCGAACGCUUCUUUUUCCACCGGAGCUUGCUCCACCGGAAAAAGAGGAGUGGCGAACGGGUGAGUAACACGUGGGUAACCUGCCCAUCAGAAGGGGAUAACACUUGGAAACAGGUGCUAAUACCGUAUAACAAUCAAAACCGCAUGGUUUUGAUUUGAAAGGCGCUUUCGGGUGUCGCUGAUGGAUGGACCCGCGGUGCAUUAGCUAGUUGGUGAGGUAACGGCCACCAAGGCCACGAUGCAUAGCCGACCUGAGAGGGUGAUCGGCCACAUUGGGACUGAGACACGGCCCAA